ACGCUCGACACCUACGGGAGGCAGCAGUGGGGAAUAUUGCACAAUGGGGGAAACCCUGAUGCAGCGACGCCGCGUGGAGGAGAAGGUACUUCGGUAGUUGUAAACUACCUCGUUGUUGGGGAAAAAGAAGGAUGGGUACCCGAAACCAAGGAAGGUACGACGGCUAACUAACGUGUCGAGACAGCCGCCGGUAAUACUCGAGGACGGGCCGUGGCGAAGGGCGNNNG
This 227-nucleotide ribosomal RNA is filed under the name uncultured bacterium. RNAcentral describes it as "partial 16S ribosomal RNA". It matches the Rfam family "Bacterial small subunit ribosomal RNA", at positions 328 to 544 of the family's 1533-position model. The record is from RNAcentral.